CUACGGGGCGCUCCAGUGGGGAAUAUUGGGCAAUGGGCGCAAGCCUGACCCAGCAACGCCGCGUGAGGGAAGAAGGUUUUCGGAUGUAAACCUCUGUCCUUGGGGACGAAGAAGUGACGGUACCCAAGGAGGAAGCUCCGGCUAACUACGUGCCAGCAGCCGCGGUAAUACGUAGGGAGCAAGCGUUGUCCGGAAUUACUGGGCGUAAAGGGUGCGUAGGCGGCAUAUUAAGUCAGGUGUGAAAUACUCGGGCUCAACCCGGGGGCUGCAUUUGAAACUGAUAUGCUUGAGUGUGAGAGAGGAAAGUGGAAUUCCUAGUGUAGCGGUGGAAUGCGUAGAUAUUAGGAGGAACACCAGUGGCGAAGGCGACUUUCUGGCUCAUAACUGACGCUGAGGCACGAAAGCGUGGGGAGCAAACAGGAUUAGAUACCCCUGUAGUC
RNAcentral lists this ribosomal RNA (440 nucleotides) under uncultured bacterium. RNAcentral's name for it is "partial 16S ribosomal RNA". It matches the Rfam family "Bacterial small subunit ribosomal RNA", at positions 339 to 795 of the family's 1533-position model. The record is from RNAcentral.